UGGGGAAUAUUGCGCAAUGGGGGCAACCCUGACGCAGCCAUGCCGCGUGAGUGAAGAAGGCCUUCGGGUUGUAAAGCUCUUUCGGGUGUGAAGAUGAUGACGGUAACACCAGAAGAAGCCCCGGCUAACUUCGUGCCAGCAGCCGCGGUAAUACGAAGGGGGCAAGCGUUGUUCGGAAUCACUGGGCGUAAAGAGCGCGUAGGCGGUUAGAUCAGUCAGAGGUGAAAGCCCAGGGCUCAACCCUGGAAAUGCCUUUGAUACUGUCUAGCUUGAAUCCGUGAGAGGGUGGUGGAAUUCCCAGUGUAGAGGUGAAAUUCGUAGAUAUUGGGAGGAACACCAGUGGCGAAGGCGGCCACCUGGCGCGGUAUUGACGCUGAGGCGCGAAAGCGUGGGGAGCAAA
This 400-nucleotide ribosomal RNA is filed under the name uncultured bacterium. Its description in RNAcentral is "bacterial SSU rRNA". It matches the Rfam family "Bacterial small subunit ribosomal RNA", at positions 355 to 772 of the family's 1533-position model. The record is from RNAcentral.